This 251-nucleotide unclassified non-coding RNA is filed under the name uncultured fungus. Its description in RNAcentral is "sequence contains ITS1". The record is from RNAcentral. Lineage: Eukaryota; Fungi.
AUUCGAAAAGCUCUGAAUCGUGGUGAAGCCUAUCACCAGCUGAUUUAUAAAAUAGCAUCUGUCGGAGGCGGUGAUUUUAGAGGUAUGUCUGAAAUGGAAGUAGAAAUUUGGAAUGAAUGCAAUCGGUUGAUUGCUUUAAUCGUCAUUUGUUAUAAUAUGCAUUUGUUAUCGAAGCUGUAUGAAAAUGCACUAGCGAAAGGCGAUAUAGCAGCAUUGAAUUUCUUAAAGCAUGUUUCGCCUGUGGCUUUUCA